Molecule: ribosomal RNA, 154 nt
Filed under: Naganishia adeliensis
Lineage: Eukaryota; Fungi; Basidiomycota; Tremellomycetes; Filobasidiales; Filobasidiaceae
Description: 5.8S ribosomal RNA
Rfam family: 5.8S ribosomal RNA (bases 1-128)
About the family: 5.8S ribosomal RNA (5.8S rRNA) is a component of the large subunit of the eukaryotic ribosome. It is transcribed by RNA polymerase I as part of the 45S precursor that also contains 18S and 28S rRNA.
Source: RNAcentral
CUCGCAUCGAUGAAGAACGCAGCGAAAUGCGAUAAGUAAUGUGAAUUGCAGAAUUCAGUGAAUCAUCGAAUCUUUGAACGCACCUUGCGCUCCUUGGUAUUCCGAGGAGCAUGCCUGUUUGAGUGUCAUGAAAACCCUCAACCCUAGAUUGGUU